CCUANGGGAGGCAGCAGUGAGGAAUAUUGGUCAAUGGGCGCAAGCCUGAACCAGCCAUCCCGCGUGGAGGAAGAAGGCGCUAUGCGUUGUAAACUUCUUUUCCAGGGGAAUAAAAUUUCGUACGAGUACGGGACUGAAGGUACCCUGGGAAUAAGCAUCGGCUAACUCCGUGCCAGCAGCCGCGGUAAUACGGAGGAUGCAAGCGUUAUCCGGAUUUAUUGGGUUUAAAGGGUGCGUAGGCGGAUUACUAAGUCAGUGGUGAAAACCUUCAGCUUAACUGGAGACUUGCCAUUGAUACUGUUAGUCUUGAGUAUGGUUAAGGUAGGCGGAAUGUGUAAUGUAGCGGUGAAAUGCUUAGAUAUUACACAGAACACCGAUUGCGAAGGCAGCUUACUGAGCCAUAACUGACGCUGAUGCACGAAAGCGUGGGGAGCGAACAGGAUUAGAUACCCCANUANUC
RNAcentral lists this ribosomal RNA (460 nucleotides) under uncultured bacterium. Its description in RNAcentral is "bacterial SSU rRNA". It matches the Rfam family "Bacterial small subunit ribosomal RNA", at positions 338 to 795 of the family's 1533-position model. The record is from RNAcentral.